Molecule: ribosomal RNA, 492 nt
Filed under: uncultured bacterium
Lineage: Bacteria
Description: partial 16S ribosomal RNA
Rfam family: Bacterial small subunit ribosomal RNA
Source: RNAcentral
AGUGAACGCUGGCGGUAGGCCUAACACAUGCAAGUCGAACGGAAGCACAGUAAGAGCUUGCUCUUACGGGUGGCGAGUGGCGGACGGGUGAGGAAUACAUCGGAAUCUACUUUUUCGUGGGGGAUAACGUAGGGACACUUACGCUAAUACCGCAUACGACCUACGGGUUAAAGCAGGGGAUCUUCGGACCUUGCGCGAUUGAAUGAGCCGAUGUCGGAUUAGCUAGUUGGCGGGGUAAAGGCCCACCAAGGCGACGAUCCGUAGCUGGUCUGAGAGGAUGAUCAGCCACACUGGAACUGAGACACGGUCCAGACUCCUACGGGAGGCAGCAGUGGGGAAUAUUGGACAAUGGGCGCAAGCCUGAUCCAGCCAUGCCGCGUGGGUGAAGAAGGCCUUCGGGUUGUAAAGCUCUUUUGUUGGGAAAGAACAGCAGCAGGUUAAUACCCCGCUGUUCUGACGGUACCCAAAGAAUAAGCACCGGCUAACUUCGUG